GAUGAACGCUGGCGGCGUGCUUAACACAUGCAAGUCGAACGGAGUGCCUUUGAAAGAGGAUUCGUCCAAUUGAUAAGGUUACUUAGUGGCGGACGGGUGAGUAACGCGUGAGGAACCUGCCUUGGAGUGGGGAAUAACACAGUGAAAAUUGUGCUAAUACCGCAUAAUGCAGUUGGGCCGCAUGGCUCUGACUGCCAAAGAUUUUAUCGCUGAAAGAUGAGCUCGCGUCUGAUUAGCUAGUUGGCGGGGUAACGGCCCACCAAGGCGACGAUCAGUAGCCGGACUGAGAGGUUGAACGGCCACAUUGGGACUGAGACACGGCCCAG
RNAcentral lists this ribosomal RNA (326 nucleotides) under uncultured bacterium. RNAcentral's name for it is "bacterial SSU rRNA". It matches the Rfam family "Bacterial small subunit ribosomal RNA", at positions 28 to 334 of the family's 1533-position model. The record is from RNAcentral.